UAAGAGGGAACCCGGUGGGAAUCCGGGACUGCCCCGCAGCGGUGAGCGAGAACGACCGCCGUCAUACGCACUGGGCCCGGACGGGCCUGGGAAGCGACGGCCAGUAGGUGUCCGUCCCCGACCGACAGGUCGGGGCAGGCGUGCCCGCGAGUCCGAAGACCU
Molecule: non-coding RNA, 162 nt
Filed under: Streptomyces sp.
Lineage: Bacteria; Bacillati; Actinomycetota; Actinomycetes; Kitasatosporales; Streptomycetaceae
Source: RNAcentral